RNAcentral lists this small RNA (27 nucleotides) under Bombyx mori (domestic silkworm). Its description in RNAcentral is "ovarian small RNA-31940". The record is from RNAcentral. Lineage: Eukaryota; Metazoa; Arthropoda; Insecta; Lepidoptera; Bombycidae.
UGACUGAACAUUCGGCUCCACUAUCAA